Molecule: long non-coding RNA, 299 nt
Filed under: Homo sapiens (human)
Lineage: Eukaryota; Metazoa; Chordata; Mammalia; Primates; Hominidae
Description: non-protein coding lnc-TMEM234-3:13
Source: RNAcentral
UGUGGUCUGGGCUCAACCAGCCAAAAGAGCAACAAAGACUCCAGAACCCACUCUACCUCCUCAAUCCCUUGGCCAUCUGUGGAGCCCCAGAGCCUGCGGCUGUGGCAAGGCCUGUUUCUGCGCUGGACCUGCUCACCUGAGCCUGCAGAAGCUGCAUGGGGGAAGAGUGUGGCAAAUAGUGACAGGAAGGGAGAAGACAGAAGCCUCUCAGCCAACUGCUUCAGCCGAGCCCCUAUUCUAAGCACUGGCUCCUUGGAUAGCAGCUGAGAUGUUCCUGAAACCUCUGCAGGCCCCUUAGG